GACGAACGCUGGCGGCGUGCUUAACACAUGCAAGUCGAACGGAAAGGCCCUGCUUUUGUGGGGUGCUCGAGCGGCGAACGGGUGAGUAACACGUGAGUAACCUGUCCUUGACUUUGGGAUAACUUCAGGAAACUGGGGCUAAUACCGGAUAGGAGCUCCUGCUGCAUGGUGGGGGUUGGAAAGUUUCGGCGGUUGGGGAUGGACUCGCGGCUUAUCAGCUUGUUGGUGGGGUAGUGGCUUACCAAGGCUUUGACGGGUAGCCGGCCUGAGAGGGUGACCGGCCACAUUGGGACUGAGAUACGGCCCAGACUCCUACGGGAGGCAGCAGUGGGGAAUAUUGCACAAUGGGCGGAAGCCUGAUGCAGCAACGCCGCGUGCGGGAUGACGGCCUUCGGGUUGUAAACCGCUUUCGCCUGUGACGAAGCGUGAGUGACGGUAAUGGGUAAAGAAGCACCGGCUAACUACGUG
RNAcentral lists this ribosomal RNA (468 nucleotides) under uncultured bacterium. RNAcentral's name for it is "partial 16S ribosomal RNA". It matches the Rfam family "Bacterial small subunit ribosomal RNA", at positions 28 to 507 of the family's 1533-position model. The record is from RNAcentral.